Molecule: non-coding RNA, 650 nt
Organism: Cicer arietinum (chickpea)
Lineage: Eukaryota; Viridiplantae; Streptophyta; Magnoliopsida; Fabales; Fabaceae
Source: RefSeq, a predicted model, not a curated record
AGGAAAUAAUAAGAGAGAAGAAAAAAAAUCAAAGAGAACACACUAACUCCAUUGCAUGUCUUUCUCAAUCCUUUCAUCAUCUUAUCAUAGAAACAUCUCACACCUAUAUUAGAGUAAAAUAGGACCAAGAGGGAGAGUGAAAUGAGAAAUUAUGAGAAAGAAGAAAAGAAAAGCUAGGAUUUUAAUAUAGGAGAAGAAGUUUAGAGUUCUUCUAUGUUGAGAAGGAAGAUGGAAAUGUGAAGAGGAGUUAAAGUUUCACUUGUAGAAGAAAGAAUUAGAAUAAAAUUUUAGAGUCUCAAAUCUCUUCUUAAGGAGCGAGGGUAAGUGAGGCACCAGACUUAAUUAUGUCCAAUCUUAUCAAAAGAGGUUAUUCAAGUAGAGGAUAUUGGGUGAAACCAGUGUAAUCUUUAUGAUUUACUUGUUAUAUUGAGUUUAAGUCAUUAGAUAACUCAUAUCUAGUGGCUUAAUAUGUUUGAAAGAUUUGAGGUUAGAGGUACAAGAGGUAUUUGAAUAUAGCUUACGAAGAAAUAAUAUUAUAUUAGUUUGAAGUAUAGUUUGUCGAGAAGAUUUUCCAUGAUUAGCACACCGACAUGGCUUGAAAACAUCAAUAAUUGUUUUUUAUUAAUCUAUGUUACUGAGUUUUAUGCUCA